UACUAUUAUGAUGAGCUUUAAGCUUUCGCCCCUAUCUGAACAUAAAGAGAAACUUCUCAUGUUGAAUGCGAGGAUUGGUCUUACUGAAACCUAUUU
This is a small nucleolar RNA of Drosophila hydei, 96 nucleotides long. RefSeq annotates it as small nucleolar RNA Me28S-Gm1083. The transcript has a single exon. The record is from RefSeq and is a predicted model, not a curated record. Lineage: Eukaryota; Metazoa; Arthropoda; Insecta; Diptera; Drosophilidae.